Molecule: long non-coding RNA, 250 nt
Filed under: Elaeis guineensis (African oil palm)
Lineage: Eukaryota; Viridiplantae; Streptophyta; Magnoliopsida; Arecales; Arecaceae
Description: long non-coding RNA (EGUI_LNC031783)
Source: RNAcentral
UGGUAGUGAGAUAUAUUGUGAUCUCCACCACAAUAUCAUCGAAACUCUUUUUGAUGGAUUGAAACAAUUCUAACUCUAUCCUUCGAGGGUCAUCGAUCAUCAAAAUGAUGCCCAAUGAGUCUCAUAAUCCAUCAGUGACACCUAAUAGUAUAUAGUGGUAACCCAAUAGAAUGAAAAUUUGAACCCUUAGGUAUAGUUAUCAUAUGAUUCAGUCCUUCUAUCAUGAGUCCCGACUUGACGAAAGUCAUGG